AUACGGAGGGUGCAAGCGUUGUCCGGAUUUAUUGGGUUUAAAGGGUGCGUAGGCGGCCCGGUAAGUCAGUGGUGAAAGGUAUCAGCUCAACUGAUGAAUUGCCAUUGAAACUAACGGGCUUGAGUACAGACGAGGUAGGCGGAAUUUAUGGUGUAGCGGUGAAAUGCAUAGAUACCAUAAAGAACACCGAUAGCGAAGGCAGCUUACUAGACUGUCACUGACGCUGAGGCACGAAAGCGUGGGGAGCAAACAGGAUUAGAUACCCCGGUAGUCC
Molecule: ribosomal RNA, 274 nt
Filed under: uncultured bacterium
Lineage: Bacteria
Description: partial 16S ribosomal RNA
Rfam family: Bacterial small subunit ribosomal RNA
Source: RNAcentral